AACAGGAUUAGAUACCCUGGUAGUCCACGCCGUAAACGAUGUCUACUUGGAGGCUGUGGUCUUGAACCGUGGCUUCCGGAGCUAACGCGUUAAGUAGACCGCCUGGGGAGUACGGCCGCAAGGUUAAAACUCAAAUGAAUUGACGGGGGCCCGCACAAGCGGUGGAGCAUGUGGUUUAAUUCGAUGCAACGCGAAGAACCUUACCUACUCUUGACAUCCAGAGAACUUAGCAGAGAUGCUUUGGUGCCUUCGGGAACUCUGAGACAGGUGCUGCAUGGCUGUCGUCAGCUCGUGUUGUGAAAUGUUGGGUUAAGUCCCGCAACGAGCGCAACCCUUAUCCUUUGUUGCCAGCACGUAAUGGUGGGAACUCAAAGGAGACUGCCGGUGAUAAACCGGAGGAAGGUGGGGAUGACGUCAAGUCAUCAUGGCCCUUACGAGUAGGGCUACACACGUGCUACAAUGGCAUAUACAAAGAGAAGCGAACUCGCGAGAGCAAGCGGACCUCAUAAAGUAUGUCGUAGUCCGGAUUGGAGUCUGCAACUCGACUCCAUGAAGUCGGAAUCGCUAGUAAUCGUAGAUCAGAAUGCUACGGUGAAUACGUUCCCGGGCCUUGUACACACCGCCCGUCACACCAUGGGAGUGGGUUGCAAAAGAAGUAGGUAGCUUAACCUUCGGGAGGGCGCUUACCACUUUGUGAUUCAUGACUGGGGUGAAGUCGUAACAAGGUAACC
This 731-nucleotide ribosomal RNA is filed under the name uncultured bacterium. Its description in RNAcentral is "bacterial SSU rRNA". It matches the Rfam family "Bacterial small subunit ribosomal RNA", at positions 771 to 1501 of the family's 1533-position model. The record is from RNAcentral.